Molecule: ribosomal RNA, 497 nt
Filed under: uncultured bacterium
Lineage: Bacteria
Description: partial 16S ribosomal RNA
Rfam family: Bacterial small subunit ribosomal RNA
Source: RNAcentral
GAUGAACGCUGGCGGCGUGCCUAAUACAUGCAAGUCGAGCGAACAGACGAGGAGCUUGCUCCUCUGACGUUAGCGGCGGACGGGUGAGUAACACGUGGAUAACCUACCUAUAAGACUGGGAUAACUUCGGGAAACCGGAGCUAAUACCGGAUAAUAUAUUGAACCGCAUGGUUCAAUAGUGAAAGACGGUUUUGCUGUCACUUAUAGAUGGAUCCGCGCCGCAUUAGCUAGUUGGUAAGGUAACGGCUUACCAAGGCGACGAUGCGUAGCCGACCUGAGAGGGUGAUCGGCCACACUGGAACUGAGACACGGUCCAGAAUCCUACGGGAGGCAGCAGUAGGGAAUCUUCCGCAAUGGGCGAAAGCCUGACGGAGCAACGCCGCGUGAGUGAUGAAGAUCUUCGGAUCGUAAAACUCUGUUAUUAGGGAAGAACAAAUGUGUAAGUAACUAUGCACGUCUUGACGGUACCUAAUCAGAAAGCCACGGCUAACUACGUG